UUGAAAGUUUUGAACAGGAAGAGUAUUUAAAUCGUGUUACUGAAAGAGAGCGAAGUAUAGGUGAAAAUUCGCAGGAGGAUUUAAAGAAAAUCACCUGGGAGCUAAAGAACUGAAAUAAUUAUUAAUUUAGUAGGUUUUUUCGUAUUUCCACGUUAAGGAGUAAAAUGUAUUUGUAUUUUUUGAAAUUUACACAUAGGUGGUAAAGCGAAUAUCAACUUCGUCCUAUUU
Molecule: non-coding RNA, 228 nt
Filed under: Clostridium tyrobutyricum
Lineage: Bacteria; Bacillati; Bacillota; Clostridia; Eubacteriales; Clostridiaceae
Description: T-box sequence
Rfam family: T-box leader
About the family: Uncharged tRNA acts as the effector for transcription antitermination of genes in the T-box leader family.
Source: RNAcentral